UGGGGAAUAUUGGACAAUGGGCGAAAGCCUGAUCCAGCCAUGCCGCGUGUGUGAAGAAGGUCUUCGGAUUGUAAAGCACUUUAAGUUGGGAGGAAGGGCAGUUACCUAAUACGUGAUUGUUUUGACGUUACCGACAGAAUAAGCACCGGCUAACUCUGUGCCAGCAGCCGCGGUAAUACAGAGGGUGCAAGCGUUAAUCGGAAUUACUGGGCGUAAAGCGCGCGUAGGUGGUUAGUUAAGUUGGAUGUGAAAUCCCCGGGCUCAACCUGGGAACUGCAUUCAAAACUGACUGACUAGAGUAUGGUAGAGGGUGGUGGAAUUUCCUGUGUAGCGGUGAAAUGCGUAGAUAUAGGAAGGAACACCAGUGGCGAAGGCGACCACCUGGACUGAUACUGACACUGAGGUGCGAAAGCGUGGGGAGCAAACAGGAUUAGAUACCCACGUAGUCCCUGAGCGGGCUGGCAAGGCGCAU
This 472-nucleotide ribosomal RNA is filed under the name uncultured bacterium. RNAcentral describes it as "bacterial SSU rRNA". It matches the Rfam family "Bacterial small subunit ribosomal RNA", at positions 355 to 825 of the family's 1533-position model. The record is from RNAcentral.